This 429-nucleotide ribosomal RNA is filed under the name uncultured dinoflagellate. Its description in RNAcentral is "SSU rRNA". It matches the Rfam family "Eukaryotic small subunit ribosomal RNA", at positions 867 to 1296 of the family's 1831-position model. The record is from RNAcentral. Lineage: Eukaryota; Dinophyceae.
GAUUGAUGGGGAUGGUUGGGGGCAUUUGUAUUUAACUGUCAGAGGUGAAAUUCUUGGAUUUGUUAAAGACAAACUAAUGCGAAUGCAUUUGCCAAGGAUGUCUUCUUUAAUCAAGAACGAAAGUUAGGGGAUCGAAGACGAUUAGAUACCGUCCUAGUCUUAACCAUAAACUAUGCUACCAAGAAAUUGGAGGCGGUUGCCUGUUGAUUCCUUCGGCAUUUUUUGAGAAAUCAAAGUCUUUGAGUUCCAGGGGGAGUAUGGUCGCAAGACUGAAACUUAAAGGAAUUGACGGAAGGGCACCACCAGGAGUGGAGCCUGCGGCUUAAUUUGACUCAACACGGGGAAACUCACCAGGUCCAGACAUAGUAAGGAUUGACAGAUUGAUAGCUCUUUCUUGAUUAUGUGGGUGGUGGUGCAUGGCCGUUCUUA